Molecule: ribosomal RNA, 430 nt
Filed under: Pseudomonadota bacterium
Lineage: Bacteria; Pseudomonadati; Pseudomonadota
Description: Proteobacteria bacterium partial 16S ribosomal RNA
Rfam family: Bacterial small subunit ribosomal RNA
Source: RNAcentral
UGGGGAAUAUUGGACAAUGGGGGGAACCCUGAUCCAGCCAUGCCGCGUGUGUGAAGAAGGCCUUAUGGUUGUAAAGCACUUUAAGCGAGGAGGAGGGUACUGGUAUUAAUACUACCAGCUACUGGACGUUACUCGCAGAAUAAGCACCGGCUAACUCUGUGCCAGCAGCCGCGGUAAUACAGAGGGUGCGAGCGUUAAUCGGAUUUACUGGGCGUAAAGCGUGCGUAGGCGGCUAAUUGAGUCGGAUGUGAAAUCCCCGAGCUUAACUUGGGAAUUGCAUUCGAUACUGGUUAGCUAGAGUGUGGGAGAGGAUGCUAGAAUUCCAGGUGUAGCGGUGAAAUGCGUAGAGAUCUGGAGGAAUACCGAUGGCGAAGGCAGCCAUCUGGCCUAACACUGACGCUGAGGUACGAAAGCAUGGGGAGCAAACAGG